Long non-coding RNA from Manis pentadactyla (Chinese pangolin), 6451 nucleotides. RefSeq lists it as uncharacterized. The transcript has 3 exons. The record is from RefSeq and is a predicted model, not a curated record. NCBI's taxonomy places the organism in Eukaryota, Metazoa, Chordata, Mammalia, Pholidota, Manidae.
CCCUAGGACAGGGGCUAACAGGGGCUACUGCCUGUUUUCAUAAGUUUUAUUGGGAGACAGCAUGCCUGUUUGUCUGUCUUGUCUUAGCUGGUCAAGCACUACAAUAGCAGCAGAGCAGUUGCAACAGAUCCCAUGUGGCUGGCAAAGUCAAGAAUGUUUAUUAUCUGGCCCUUGCAAAUCAGUUUGCCAACCCCCUCCUAGAAGGUAAGACUGGCAGUUAGCCCUUCCGAAGGAGCAGGUAGGUCCACCUGGCUAACCAAGCAGAAGGGCCUGUCUGCCCGCUCCUCCUCUUUAUCAUCUUUGGGAGCGGCAAUCCCCAGGAGGAGGCAGUCUCUGCACUAGAGGGAGAGGGAAAGCAGCCCCCCAGCCACUGCCCAUCUCCCCAUCUUCUCCCCAGACAGCCCACUCUUCAGCCCCCGGGUGCAGAGGGAACAUACAUGGAGGCAGCUUUGCUGGCCACAUGUGGCUGCACAGGCUGUCUGUACCCAAAGGCAUCUGGCCUGGGGGGCACCCAGGGAUCGACGUCCAGUCACCAAGAUAUGGGCCUGGCAUGGCUCCAUCUUCCCAGAGAAAAGGGCAUCUCCUAAGUCUCAUACAGGCACCUACGGCCCACAGGAGCUAGGAUCGCAUUGCUGGUGGGAGCCUGGGUUUCAGUUUGCCUCUUGGCCUUGACCUUGGGCAAGAGAUGCAAAUUUUCCUAGCCUCAGUUUCCUCAUCUGCAAAAUGUCAACAAGAGUAGCACUGCGGCUACUGGACAAAGACCCUCCGAAGAUGUGCAAUCCCAGUCCCUUCAGCCCGUGAGUAUGGACCUGUAUGGCAAAGGGGACUCGGAAGAUGUGGUAAGCUAAAGAUUUUGAGAUGGGGUGAUGACCUGGGUUAUCCAGAUGGGCCGCAUAUGAUCACAGGGGUCCUGAUAUAUUCACGGGAGGCAGCGGGGCAGAGUGAGGGGUAAGAGAUGUGAAGCCAGCAGCCAGAUGUAGGAAAGCCAGGGAAGAGGCCACGAGCCAAGGAAUAUGGGUGCUCUAGGGGCUGGAAAAGGCAAGGAAAUUCUCCCCAGAGCUUCCAGAAGGAAACAGUCCUGCCAACACCUUGACUUUAGCCUAGUGAGACUGAUUUGGGACUUGUAGUUUCAGAACUGUAAGAUCAUAGGUUUGCGUGGUAAGCUCUGAGUUUCUGAUCUGUUACAGCCACAGGAGACUCACACAGGCACCCAGCUCAGAGGGUGUUGGCAAGGAUGAGCCAAGCCAGUGCCUCCAAACAUCUGGCCUCUGGGGAACUGCAUGGAGCUCAGUACCGGGGAGCUGCUGCCACCAUACAGACAAGGAGGCUUCCUCACCUCCACCCUCCCUCCGGCCCCUCCUUCUGGCCCUGGGGAGGGCUGCCAUCCCCAAAACUCCUGCAAAGAUAAGGGGUGACCUCUGACCAUGUGAGGAAAGGCCGGGGCCAAAGAUGGCCAGAUGGUGGAGAUUACAGCAAUUCUGUAAUCCGUGGGCCUGUCCACAGUCCCCAGACAAAGGGAGGUGGGGCAGUGAUGUCAUCAUUUACAGGCUUUGGCUUGCAUAACGGGUUUCAAGUACAGCAAGUGGGGAAAGCAAAAGUUAUUUUCAAAUUGGUCAUUGGCAGCUGGCUGGCCAGACCAUUCCCUGUGAAAAGCAAUCAUGCAGGAACAGACUUGUCCGUCCACGCUUUUCCUCUGCUGGUCCAGCCCGCAACCUCUUCCGGCUCAGGGACAGCCCUCCCUCCUCCAGCAGCUUUGCCCAGUUACCUCGCCCCAGGUGACCAAUUCAUCCUGGUUUGCCAGGGGCUUUCCUGGUUUUAAUGCUGAAGAUCCCAUGUCCAGAGAAGACCCCAGACCCCAGGCAAACUGGGACAGCUGGUCACCCAAUUCGGCCCACCCCACAGCGGCUUCCCAGUGCUCGGGCGCUUUGCCCUGCCUAGGGCACCCCCUUUUCCUUGGAGUCCCGCGAAUGAGGCAGGUUCUGCCUGGCAGCAGGGCCCCACCCAUGCUGACCCUCUGCCCAGAAUCUUCUUCCUUCUGGUUUAUCUUGGCUGGCCCUGCUCAGGGGCCUUGACUACCUCCUCUACAACAAAGCCUGCCUGGCAUGCUAUGCAUGGACAUAUACCAGAGGAGCUGAGACGGCCCAGCCCAGGCCUGAACAAGGCACUGGACCACAUGAGCUCUCUUCCUCCAAAGUUUCCUCCGCAAAGACCUGCUGGGCCUGUGCUGUGCGCCAGGCUCUGGACAGGGAGAUGGACAAUAAAGAAAUAAACAAGUUUACAUGGCAGCAGGUAUGAUGAAAAGAAAAGAAAAACCUUCACAUUUGCCGACGAGGGGACCGGGAAGAAAGCAGGCCCACAGCUCCCAUCGCUCCCCAAGGCUUCCUGCCAGGCCUGGAAGAUGCUGCCAAAGGUUAACUCAUCAAAGAUGAGGGGAUAAUAAAACAUAUGGGGAAGGAGAUGGGGAACUGAGAUGUCAGGAUGAUUAGAUAGUCACCUUGGAGAGUAGAUUAGAAAGAGGUAUGAAACUCGUAAGUAGGAGCCCAGCUCUAGCAUCCAAAAAUUCCACCUCAAGGUACCUACUUAGAGAAAUCUCUACACUUAUGCAGAGAAAAUAUAUACAGAGAUUCAAAUUAUAGCAUUGUUUGAAACAGCAAUAAACUGGGAAUGAUGCCUAUCAACCCACGGAAAGUGAGAUUUAGUUGCACUGAAAUGAAGAUUCUCCAAGAUGUGAUCAUUGUGUGAAAGACAAAGGUGUAGAAAAAUAAGUGUAACAGAACCCCACUUAGAAGAUGGAAAGCCCUACUCUCCAUUCUUCAGGGACCCAUAGUUAUGAAUGCAAAUACACGGAAAGGGUGGAAACCGCUGAUUCCCCAGGAAAGAAGGCAGGGAUAGAGAGCACCUCCAAAGGUCUCUAGGUUUGACACAAAGGUUUCAGUUUUUACAGAAAAUUAUGCAUGGUUAUCUGCACAAUUUUUAUAUUUGUGGAAUCAAACAUUCAAAGGGAAAGAAAAGACAGCGAGGUGGUAGAACAAUGAGGUUGUAUGCCUCAGUGCCAGCUCAGAUGUCAUUAUUUAGUUUGACAAUAAAGACAAAAGCCCCAACAUCUGCCAAGAUCAAGUUACCAUGUACAGAAUAUAAACCUACCCACACUUCACUCAGAUAGAUAAUAGCAGUACCGCUUAGCUUUUGUUUUAUUGGGUUUAAAAAAAACAAGCCACCACUCCAACAAAAAUAAACCAUCUAUUUAAAACCAUAGCCCUUUUAUUUAGCUCCCAAAUCUGUGGGUCACCUGGGUGAUUUUUCUGAUCUGGGCCAGCCAGGCUGCUAUUUGCUGGGUUUACCCACCAGCGUGUGGCCAUUUGGCAGCUAGGCAAUCUAGAAUCAUCUAACUCUUGUGUCUGGAAUGCGGCACCUUGUUUUCCUUAAGGUGGCUCUCAUCCUCCAACAGGCUAGCUCGGGCUUAUUCACAUGGGGGUGUCAGAGUUCCAAGAGAAUUACUGAGAAUGCUAUAAUGCCCCUUGAGGCAUAGGCUCUGAAAUUCACACAGUGUCACUUCCAUGACAUUCCAUUGGCCAAAGCAUGUAGCAAGACCAGCCCGUGUUCAAAUGGUGGGAAAUAGACUCGACUCUAUUCAGUGAAUAAAAAGAACAGCUCCUCUGUGCCAGGCCCUGUGUUAAGCAUUUUAUAUACAUUUUCUCAUUAUCUUCUCACAGCAAGCCUGUGAACAAGGUAUGGGUAUGUAGUCACACUUAACAGAUGAAGAAACUGAAGCACGCUGGGGGGUCAGGGAAAGGGCUCCAGGAGGCCUUUACUCCUCCCACAGACUCUCUCCUGCAGAUGCCUAGAAGCCACCAUUCCUGACUCCUGAUUUUCACCUGCUGUGGGCUGGAUUGUGUCACCCUGAUUCAUGCGGUUAAGCCUGGAUUCCCGGUGUGGCCUUAUUUGGAGUGUGGGAGUAAUAAGGUUAAAUGAGGUCACAGAGUGAGCCCUGAUCUCGUAGGAUUGGUGUCCUUGUAAGAGGAUACACCAGAGAGCUCACCCUCUCUCUCCACCAUCCGGGGUCACAGAAGGUGGCCAUCUGCAAGCCAGGAAGAGGGCUCUCAUCGGAAACCAAAUUGGCUGGCACCUUGAUCUUGGACUUCUAAGACUCCAGAACAGUGAGAAAUCAGUGCCUGUUGUUCAAGCCCCCAGUCUGUGGUAUUUUGUUAUGGCAGCCUGAGCAGACUAAGACAUCUGUCUGUCCACUUUUAAAAUACAGUGUCCUUGAGCUGAUGGUUACACCCCCUCCUAAUUCUUCAAAGUGCACAUGUUUUUACUGCUCUCCUUCCCAGCAAGCCACACUUCAGUGUAAAGUUCCUAUGCAGAACCAGUCUCCAGCCCUAUUUUUCUCUGCUUUUUUAUGAUUCCUCAGUGUGCUUCCUCUGCUUAGAAGACACAGGUUUGGCAAGCACUGCUUAGACCCAACAGGUGUGUCCUAAGUCAAAAGAGAACAUCUCAACAGGAAGAGAAAUGGGUUUGAAGGCACCUUGACUGUUGUGUCUGCCAGAAACACUUCAAAGAUGAUGAAAAUAAAGAGGAAACAGCACUCCACCCAGCAGUGCACAGAUUUGGUGGCAAUGGUGGUAUCUGAAAGAGACUUCCUACAGCUUUGGGGACAAUGAGAAGCAAAGCAUGGUCCUCAUGAAGCCUUUGAGGUCUCUGUCUUUCUCAUCAUUUCCAAGGGCCAUGGAUAAGUUCCUCUGGGUUCUGAGCUCCCCUGUCUUUGCAUUGAGCUCCUGGUCUAAUUGGCUUUCCAGUCUACAAUCCCAAUUUGAUCAGAAACCCCACCCCUUGGCUUAGUCUCCAGAUUCCAUGUUGAGAACUGCUGGUCAUUCAGCCCAGUUCCCCAUUUGUUUGGAAUCCCCGUCCACCGUCCCACUUGUUGAGGUCUGCUGGCUCAAGCCUUUCUUUCCCCAGUGCUCAGGUGCACAUCAGGAAUUGCUGGUGGUGCACACAGGGGCUUCUCUUGGCCAAUCCAUUGUAAACAUCUGAUUGGUUAUCACCUGUGUUAAGGUGCACAUGAGGUUAUUGUUAAAGGGAAUCUCAAAAGCCAAAAGCCACCAAAUUUGAUAGGCAUAGGUUGAGCACUUAAAAGCUGUUAGAGUGCUUGCCACCUAACUCUAAGAUUCCUGUGUUAGGAGAAAUUGGUCACAGAAUAGGUUAGAUCAACACUAGCUCACCUCCCAACCUCAAGACAAUUUUUAUGCAACAAAGUACACUGUAAGACACUGCACAAUCUCCAACCCAACAGCGUGUCUCUCUUGGGUAUUAGUUUGUCUUUGAGAGCCCCAAAGGCCUAGCCACUGAAAAAAAUGGGAUCCUUAAAUUCCAAAGACUUGUGUGUACCACCUCCCAGCACCUCUGCUUAUUUUAUGUUUAGGAACUAUAGUUCCAGAAUUGGAGAGAUCUACGAAAAUGGCAAAAUCUUAUUAGAAACAGCCUAGAAUUAUAAUGGCCAUUUAUGGAGGAUGUUCCAAUAAGACAAGGUCAUUCAUCAAGCAAGGGUUCCCAGAUCAAGCAGACAGAAUGGGAUACCUAAUUAAGUGGUAUGCAGCAGCUCCCAAAAGGCUUAAUUUAAAAAAGUAAUUGCAAAAGGCUAAUGAAAAAUCAAAAACUCAAGAAGUACCUAAAACAAAAGGCAAUAACAUUGACGUGACUUCUACUGCUCCCCUCUCUCUUGCUUUACUUGAGUCCGUGGAUUCUACUUAUUCUCUCUCUGAACUGCCUUUCUACUCUGAAGAGACUAUUAAAUAGGUACUUUUAAGAUAAAGCCACUUGGGGUUGCAGGAGAUCCAACUCAGGUAUCUUUCACUCCACAGUCAAAGACUAAACUAAGAGCCACAGUUGAAUUUCCUAAACCCAAGGAGAAUCCCCAGAAGUUUUCUGAAGGAUUUGAAGUCCGUACCAGGCUGCCGGAUCUUUAUCAGCUUGUGCACAUUCUGAUAGGACCUGGUGAGGCGCCAGAGAUGGACGUGGGGCAGCAGAAUGGUGUGACCCUGAGGACGACAUCUGAGCACUUCAGUUAUCGACAUGGACCAGAAAAAACUUGCAAGAUAGCAACUGAUCCUUUAAAAGCCAUUCCUUGAGUCUUUCCUGCCUGCACUGGUUUAUCUAACAUUCAAACCUGCAAAUAAAAGAAAGAUGAAUUUGUAGCAGACUUUAAAGCCCAUUUGGAAGCUCUCUGGUAUUCCUGGUUCCAUACAAUGAAUGAGGUCACCCAACCUGCUUUACCUUUCCUAUUUGUAAAUGGAUUAUCUCUUGGGAUUACUGGAUUGAUAAGAAGGCAGAAAAUGUGAUGGGAGGCCACUGGUCUGAGUGAACUCAUAACCAUAACGGAGCACUUGAAACAAGACCACAAACACAAGUCCCUCAAGCUAUUAGUCUUACACCUGCAAUAGCUUUAUGGCCAAAA